Molecule: long non-coding RNA, 581 nt
Organism: Tyto alba (common barn owl)
Lineage: Eukaryota; Metazoa; Chordata; Aves; Strigiformes; Tytonidae
Exons: 3
Source: RefSeq, a predicted model, not a curated record
AAUAACUCCAAGAGGGAUGAUCUUGAUUGAGUCAUCUGUAGAAGUGUUACUUUAGUCCUCUCUCUUUCUGCGAACUCCAAAUAAGAAACUUCUAACACCUUAAUAGAGAAGAGAAUAAUGGAGGAGAAGAAGUGAGCACAGAUCUCCACAACAAUGACGAGGAUUUGGGGAAGAAUACAGUAAUGAAAGCAACAGAGACAUUGUGGCCUCAUCUGGAGCCUUGACAACUACUUCCAAGAUGGACAGAAAUGUGAAAAUACAAGAAAUGACUGAAGGAGGACACAUUUGAGCACCAGCUGCAGGAUACAGUGUGCUGCAAAGACAUGUUUACUGCAUGUCUAUUGGAUGUCUUGUCCUUUUGAAAAUACUGCCAGUAUGGCAGCCUUCACACCCUGCUGAAAGCUAAUAGAUACCAGAGAGAACUGAUUUUUAUAUCUUUAAAUACUCUGCUACCAGGCAUUUGCUUCCUCUUUCGCCAAUUGUGCUGUUAUAUGUGGUUCUGUUUAAGAUAUAUUCAUUUAUAAUUUUUUUGCUAAUCUACUGCUUUCCACACAAUGAAAACAAUGUACUGGGUUUUAUUU